UUGCUUGUCAUCUGUUCAGUAGCACAUUGACUUUCAGUGCUGCCAAAGUAAACGACGAGAUCAUGAGCUCGCUCAUAACGCAAAGAGAGGAGUUUUGGAUCAUUUUAUCCUUGAUUACGCACCAAUGAAAACAAAGUGGUGAGCGAAGGUCACCUUUCGAUAAAGAGUUAAGGCAUUGCUUUUCAUCAACGGUAUUUCUUUCCAUCGGGAGAUAGAGUUUAGAUCAAUUAAAUUAAAUAUCAAGAAAAAAUUGAUAGUGUUAUAGUUAAGGCUAAAUUUGCUAGGCAUCCCCAUCCAAUACACAACACUACGCCUUGAGCACAUGUUCACACCACGCUAUCCUAAAAAAACUGACACACCCUAUUACCACCCACCACAUCUGAGAACAUCAUAGACGAUCAUACCACACAAUGACACACCACACAUACAAUCAACAUGAGGCUUGGAAUUUCACUGCUAUCAUUGUAUAAACCUACAUUCGAUUAGACAACGGUCAUGCCCGACACAGCUUUUCCCACGCAAUGAGAUUAUCACCGCACCACCCGUGGACAUCCUAUAUUAAUUUGUUAAAAUUGAAAUUUCAGUUGUUUCAAUGAAAUUGUCACAAUAAUUCUGAACGAAUAUACAUAUGUCCCCCCAAAAUUAAACGGGCAUUUUUAUUUAAUAUCUUAAAUGCGGGACUGAGAUCUUAACCUUCAACUAAAUUGCUGUGCCCUGCCCAAUAAAUUGGGUAUUAACUCUUUUUCUGCAUUUUCUUUCAUAUCACAUUCUAAAAUUCUUGUACGCUUUAUGUGCGCGGUGUACGUAAAUAUAUUUGAUUAAAAAUUUCUAUUGCAUUGUAGACUUAUACAUUCAUCUUUGCAUUUUACAUACAAAAAUAGAUAAUCAAAUUCAAAUUUUCAAAAAUAUUGUAUAUAUUAAUCUGAAACGGAGCGCUAUUACGGCCAUGAAAAUAAUUCGAAAUGAAACGGAAUGCCGAAUUGCAUAGCAACGAACUGGAACGAACAAGAACAUAGAGCGUUCUAGUACAUCGUUCCGAUGAAAGUCGGGUCUAUAACCGGAACGGGCCCGGAUUUUUAUCCGGCCAAGGACUUUCAACUGCAGAAUUCUGCCGCUACAACAACAACAACAACAACAACUUCUAGUACCAUUCUAGUAUCAAUAGCGCGGUCCCUCAUCUUCUCGCUAAAGAACCAUUUUGGGAGACGAAAAGAGUCCUUGUGUGAACAUAGUAUUACAAUUUUUUACCUGUGCGUAAUCAGUUGACUUAUCGAAUUUUUUUGAGAGUUUAGUCUAGUAUUGUUAUAACAAUAAACAAAAUUGCACGGGUUAAGAGAAACAAGUAUUUUUAAAGUUCGUGUUUGAAAUAUUCUAAAAGGGUCAAGUUAUCAGAAAUGUCGAUUGUAAAUAUUCUCAAAAGAGCAUCAAGUCGUAUUUUGGGGGUUGAUAAAUCCAUUGAAAAAGUUGAUGUUUAUGAGGACAACGAGGUUUUGUUUUGCAAAAAUAAUGUUUGCAUACACCCACCAAUUUCUAUACGACAAGAAUCCGAAUUGAUUCACUAUCCAGGAUAUUUGACUGUUACAUCGAAAACUUUCGUGGAUCAAUUUAAUAAAGCGAGCCGGUCGACGUUGUUACUCACGUGGAUCCCUAACUCCUCACUUUGUGAAUCGAAGUCAGAAGAAAAAAAGUUCUAUCAAAACUUACAUUGCGAAGUAUUUGAUAGGAAUGGAACCCAACCAACAUACGAUAUAGGGGUUCCAAAUGGAUUUGGAAAUGAAAGAAUUGUUAAGGACGAACAGAAAAGGGAAAUAUAUGGCUCCAAUAUUGAUAUUCAGGAGCUUAAAAAUGAGCUACAGCCUCUACUAGGUGAAAAUUUAAAUUCGAUACGUGAUAUUAAUGUUUUACUGAAUAGAAGUCUUAUUACAUCAGUUAAUAUAACAAUUUCCAAUCCACAUAUUGAGAAUAUCAAUGUAAAGGAUUCCAUAAACAGCGUUGUAACCGAUAUAAAUAAGUUAUAUCUUAAUCGUGAAUAUUAUUUAUCCGAUGAUAUUGAUCUUUAUAAUGCGCCUUCGAGUUUAUUAACGCUACAACACAGGCCAAAGUCAUGUCUCGAAUAUUCAGUUCCUCGAAAAAAAACAAAUUGUCGGCGAUUUUCCGUCGACCUGAGUCAAAUGCGUUCAUUGCGUUUGUUUUUCAAUGACAAUAAUUGUACUUCCGGGCAACUGGUAAUUUCGUCAAGAGAGUCCCAGUAUAAAAUACUUCACUUUCAUCAUGGUGGUUUGGAUCAUUUAGCGCAGGUUCUUCAUCAAUGGCACGGUUUUCUGCACAACAUUGCAUUUACACAUGGACAACACCAACAGAACUUACCGUAUCGUCAAUUCAUGGUAUGCCGCCCAGAGAUAAAGAAGCGUGAAUUGCAUCCGGACGAAGGCAGCGUAAGAAAAAUAACUACCAAUUUCUUUUAUGGAACUUUAAUUAAUAUAAAAGGACAAAUCGAAGAUGAUUUGCUUCUUCGCAAAUGUGUUUUUUUUGGCGGUUUGGAGAAAGGCUUACGAAGAACUAUAUGGCCUUUCUUAUUAAAAUGUUACUCGUUCUCAUCAACAUUUGACGACCGGGCUGUUCUUAUGGAUAUUAGAAAGCAAGAAUAUGAAGAAAUAACUCGUAAGCGCUUAUAUUCGAUGUCGCCAGAAGAACAAAUUCAUUUCUGGAAGUCGGUGCAAUGUGUUCUAGAAAAAGAUUUAGCAAGAAUAGAUCGCUCCAAUGCAUUUUUUUAUGGAGACGAUAAUCCAAACAGAGAAAUUAUGGAGAACAUUUUGUUGAACUAUGCAUUUCAUAAUGCAGGAAACAGUUAUUCGCAGGGAAUGAGCGAAUUAUUAGCUCCAGUAUUAUGUGAAAUACAAAGUGAAUCGGAGACGUUUUGGAGCUUUGUAGGGUUACUACAACGUUCUCUGUUUGUCUGUUCACCUACCGACGCAGAUAUUGACAAAAACUUAAACUAUUUGAGGGAACUAAUCCGCAUUAUGCUGCCUCGGCUCUAUGAACAUUUGCAAUGUCAUAGCAGUUCAAUGGAGCUACUGUUUUGCCACCGAUGGCUAAUUUUAUGUUUCAAACGCGAGUUCACCGAAUCAGUAGUUAUCCGAAUGUGGGAAGCGUGUUGGUCCAAUUAUCUUACCGAUUAUUUUCAUUUAUUUUUGUGUCUGGCAAUUAUUGCCGUUUAUGCCGACGAUGUAGUGGCUCAGGAUUUGCGGGCAGAUGAAAUGUUAUUUUAUUUUAGUUCACUCGCUAUGUAUAUGGAUGGAGAAUUAAUUCUACAAAAAGCCCGUGGUCUGUUAUAUCAAUAUCGCCAAUUGUCAAAAAUACCUUGUACUUUAAGUGGCUUAUGCAAAAGAUGUGGUCCUGGUAUGUGGGAUUCCGAACACUGUCCAGCUUUGGAAUGUGUCGGUCAUUCGCACAAUGACAAGUGUCCAUUGGAUAUUGAUUGAACUAAAUGCUUACAAUGCAUUCCAAAAAUUCUAAGAUUCUAAUACUAGAUAUUCUGCUUGCGUUUUUAGUUAGAGAUUAGUGUUACCAGGAAUUUAACGCCUAUGACGUCUGUUUGUUAUUAUUUAUAUAUUAGGUCAAGUAAAAAGUUCGUUCGGUUUUUAUCUAAGAGAUGGCGUUAUUGUCCAUAGUACUAGUGUUACGUGUCGCGUCAUGUCAUACUAUACGGCGCUGAAAACGUGUUUAUUCGCGCUAAAAGUUUAUUUUUGACAGUUUUUCGAUUGCUUGACUUAGUACGUUGUGAGCAUUCGUCGAAAUGGACACCAGCAAAGAAAAAAUUCGCGUUAUUUUACAAUUUUUCUUUGAUCAAGGCCAAAAAACAGCCAAAGCGGCUGAAAAAAUUAAUUUAGUUUAUGGGCCCGAUACUGUAAACGAACGUGUAGCACAAAAGUGGUUUGCUAGGUUCCGUUCCGGUAAUUUCGAUGUCAAAGAUGCACCACGCGUCGGGAGGCCUGUCGUCGAAAAUUGCGAUAAAAUUAUGGAAAUAGUGGAAACAGACCGUCAUGUGAGCACUUAUUUAAUUGCUGAGAAACUAAAGAUAAGCUCGAUGUUUGGGUGCCACCGAACUAACACAAAAAAACAUGAUGGACCGAAUUUCCAUCUGCGAAUCGCUGCUGAAUCGCAACAAAAUCGACCCGUUUCUGAAGCGGAUUGUGACUGGCGAUGAAAAAUGGGUCACUUACGACAACAUCGAGUGCAAACGGUCGUGGUCAAAGCUCGGGCAAGCGGCCCAUCCGUGGCCAAGACCGGAUUGACGGCCAUAAAGGUUUUGCUGUGUGUUUGGCGGGAUUGGCAAGGAAUCAUCUACUACGAGCUGCUGCCCUAUGGCCAAACGCUCAAUUCGGUCCUCUACUGCCAACAACUGGACCGCUUGAAGGCAGCACUCAUCCAGAAGAGGCCAUCUUUGAUCAACAGAGGCCGACUUGUGUUCCAUCAGGACAACGCCAGGCCACACACGUCUUUGGUGACGCGCUAGAAGCUCCGGGAGCUUAGAUGGGAGGUCCUAAUGCACCCACUUUAUAGUCCGGACCUGGCACCAAGUGAUUACCAUUUUUUCCUGUCCAUGGCGAACGCGCUUAAUGGUGAGAAGUUGGCCUCAAGAGAGGCCUGUGAAAAUUGGCUCUCCGAGUUUUUUUGCCAAUAGGGACGCAGCCUUCUACGAGAGGGGUAUAAUGAAGUUGGCAUCUCGUUAGCAACAAAUUCACGAUCAAAACAGCACAUACUUGACUUAAAUUGGACAAUUGUACACAAAGUUAUAAUCUUGUGAAAAAUCAAUAAAAACCCGAACGAACUUUUUACUAAUAUAACAUAGCCUUAAUUAGUUAUACCCUUAACAGGGUCUAUUAAGUUUGCGAUGAAGUUUGUAACACCCAGGAGAAAACAUGGAAAUCCUAUAUUAUAUGUAUGUAUAUAAAUGAGUGUCCGUUUGUCUGUAUAUAUGCAAACAAGUCCCUCGGUUUCUGGGAUAUGGAUCUGAAAAUUUGUACUCGAAAUUUUCUCCCCGAACUACUAUAGCAUAUAGCUGCUAUCUUCGCGAAAUUUGGCAUGUAUUAUUGUCUAAGCCAAUUUACAAUCUCUGAAGAAAUCGUUCAGAUCGGAGCACUUUACCAUAUAGCUGCCAUACAAACUGAACGAUCACUCUCAAGUCCCUGUAUGUAAAACUUUUUUUAACAAAGAAUUUUCACGAAAUUUAUCAUAUAUGUACAUAUAUAGCUGCCAUACAAACUAAUCGAUCAGAAUCAAGUUCUUGUAAGGAAAACUUGAACCCGUUAAGAGUGCAGCCGAAGUUAAUGUUUAUCUUAUUUUGUUUUAAAUUUAAGGAAGCAAAUAUUUGUUAAUUAAGAAUAUAUUGUUGUAUUAUUAAAUAAUUGUAACAGUUUUUUUUAUUAAUAUUAUUAUAAAGAAAGGACAGAUUUUGAAAAAAAACUCUGUACAAGCAAAUAAAAUGUACACGGCGUGGAGUAUGCAGAGUAUUCCAAAAUUAACCAUAAUUGAUAAAAAAAAAUAUGCUUUGUCUUGUACUAGGAUAGCGUCAUAUUAUAUAAUCCAACUUGGGAAAAUAUCAGAAUAAGUGAAGAACCUAUGGAAGAUGAUUUUCGUAACUUCCUUAGUAAAGAAAUUAUAUGUAAAUUGUAUGUUGUGUUAUAACUUUUUUUCUUUGACUGUUCACUUGUUUUUAUAGUAGAUUCAUAUUAUAAAAUAUGGUUAUUAUUUACUGUUAUUCGAUUCCUUCUUAUUUAAUUCGUUGCAGCGUUUGUGACUAUUUCUUCGAAUUUAGUUAAAAGUAAUUAUAAGUGCAAAAGAAUAUAAGUUGAUUCUUCUUUUUUAGAGACGCGUCUAGAAUUGAGUAUACACCUCAAAGUAAAUAAAUAAUUUAAAAUAAAAAUAAAAAUUUUGUUAAUAGUUUGAAUCUGUAGUCAGACAAGCCGAGUGGAACAAGUCUUUUAGAGAUUGAGCAGGGACAAGAAUUGCAUGAAAAUGGUAUGGAGGUAAAAAAAAGUUGCACAGUACUAACCUGUCCUAGAACAAUUAGUAAUUUCCUCAAAAACCCUUUAAGGUAUGGUACUAAGAAUGAGAAUAUGUCAAAUUAUACAUCAAAAUCAUAGCAAAAACCCCUUUCUAUGGUAUUAUAACCCCACAUCUUAUGCCUAGACUUAUAAGUGCUUCUUUAGCGUUUGCAGAUAAGUACCAAUUUUGGCAGAAAGAUUGGCGAAGCUUGAUAUUCAGUGACGUAAAAAGUUCAAUUUCGGUGGAUCUGAUGGUCAUAUGAAUUAUUUUCACCAAACACAAAAUCCUCGGCGCACAUGUCUCCGUGGAGUACCCGGCGAAGGUUCUAAAAUGAUGUAGGAUGCCUUUUAUUAUGAAGAAAAAACUCUAAUAUGGACACCCAUAUUCGGAACUUGCUCGAUAGUGAAUUGGCAGAAUUUGCAAUUCAACUUUACAAAGACAAUCGGACUUUCCACAAUGUAACACUUACUAAAAGGUUUUUUUGAGUCCAGAAAAAUUCCGCUUUUGGAUUUUUCAGUAAAAAGGCCGGAUUUAAACUUUAUCAAAGAUCUGUGGGAAUAUUAUCGAUUGAUUUUUUAACAUGGACGCAGUUUAAUACCGCAAAAUUAUAAAAAUGGCAAUACAGCGAAAUGGCUUCAAUCGGAUGCAAAAUCUAAAAUCUUUGGUUGAACGAUGCCGUCUCGACUCAACCAAGUCAAACUAAUAAACGAAAAUAUUAAUUAUUGACAUGACAUUGAUUCAUCAAAUUAUUUGAAAAAUUAAAUAUUUCUUUAACAUGCACAUAUGUAUGUAUAUGUAAAAAUUUUAUAAAGGAUAUAUUUACUAUGGAAAUUAAUAAUUAAACAAAGCAAAACUUUGAUAACGCCCUUUGUAUUAAAAAUUGUAUGGCUUAAAGUCGUGCACAUAUGAUUUACCAAGGUACUCUGCUAUAAUAAAUCCAUGGAACGUUUGAGGAAGAUUAUAUUCGAAACUACUUCUUGUUGCUAGGGCAAACAUCAACAGCAGCAAUGGAGGAAGUAAAGAAAAAAUUGUACAAGCAAAUAAAAUGUACACGGCGUGGAGUAUGCAGAGUAUUCCAAAAUUAACCAUAAUUGAUAAAAAAAAAUAUGCUCUCUUUUGUACUAGGAUAGCGUCAUAUUAUAUAAUCCAACUUGGGAAAAUAUCAGAAUAAGUGUAGAGCCUAUGGAAGAUGACUUUCGUAACUUCCUUAGUAAAGAAAUUAUAUGUGAAUUGUAUGUUGUGUUAUA
This is a non-coding RNA of Bactrocera oleae (olive fruit fly), 7295 nucleotides long. NCBI's taxonomy places the organism in Eukaryota, Metazoa, Arthropoda, Insecta, Diptera, Tephritidae. The record is from RefSeq and is a predicted model, not a curated record.